Drosophila ananassae is the source of this 9503-nucleotide RNA transcript. It is a transcript of the gene named RNA-binding protein Musashi homolog Rbp6, with no coding region annotated. The transcript is spliced from 15 exons. Lineage: Eukaryota; Metazoa; Arthropoda; Insecta; Diptera; Drosophilidae. The record is from RefSeq and is a predicted model, not a curated record.
CGGCAUAGCAGCUGUAAAUGAGGAGGGGGAAGGAAAGCGCCAGCGGGGGAGAGAAUUGCCUUUUCAAAGUUGGUUUCCCCUCGAAAAAAAAGUUGAAAAUUGCAAUUUAAUUAAUUUUUGACCAAAUACAACAACUAAAUCGAAAACAAACCAGAUCUUUGCAGUAAUAUGUUGCCUUUAAUUCAAUUGAAAAACCAACAACAAAAGUUAACGCAACGUUUCUAAAACUAAACUACAAAAAAUUAUAAGUAAUUUAAAUUAAAAAAAAAAAAAUUUUAAAAAAAUCAACCAAAAGUGGCCUGCAAAACCAAGCAAAUAAAACAACCAAGAAAUGUGAUUCAAAAGUGUGCAAUGUAACCAUAAAACGAUUAUUAGUAAAAAGUAAAAAAAAAAUACAAAAACUCAACAGAAAGAAAGUGAAAAAAAGCCAGGAAGAGACCCAAAAGCCAAAUGGAAAUCAAGGAGCACCAGCAAUCGAGCCAAUCAAAUAGCCUACUAGCUGCCAAAGUGGCCAAUGAUUAAGGGAACACUUUGUUAGCCAUCUCGUAGAAGCAGCAUCCCUGUCCACCCACCACAUAGACACACACACACACACAUAGACAUCCCCACACACACACACACUCUCCCAUACAUACGUGCAACCACUAAAACCCACUUUGCCACUAAACCACUCGGCCACCUACCGCAACCUUCGAUGCCCGGAAAGAAGGAGGCGUUGCAGCAACAAUUAUAGAAACAGAAUAGCAGGACAGGCAGUUGGAGAGACAACAGGAGAGACCCAGAGACCCUUUCCAGAGUUCCUUGAAGAAUCCUGGCCCAAAAGCCCCUAACAUGGACAUCAAGAUUGAACAGCAGCAGCAGCAACAACAGCAAGUGGAGCUGGGACCCUGUUCCCCAUCCGAGGUGCCCAAUGAUCCGGGAAAAAUGUUCAUUGGCGGCCUCAGUUGGCAGACAAGUCCAGAGAGCUUACGCGAUUACUUUGGACGUUAUGGUGAUAUCUCAGAGGCUAUGGUCAUGAAGGAUCCCACGACGCGCAGAUCCAGAGGCUUCGGCUUUGUCACAUUCAGCGAUCCAAAUAGCGUAGAUAAGGUACUCACCCAAGGCACACACGAGCUGGAUGGCAAAAAGGUCGAUCCGAAAGUAGCUUUUCCGCGCCGUGCACAUCCCAAGAUGGUGACGAGAACGAAGAAAAUCUUUGUGGGUGGCCUCUCGGCGCCCACCACACUGGAGGAUGUCAAAAGUUACUUCGAACAGUUUGGUCCGAUCGAGGAUGCCAUGUUGAUGUUCGACAAGCAGACCAAUCGGCACAGAGGUUUUGGCUUCGUUACAUUUCAAAGCGAAGAUGUGGUAGACAAAGUUUGCGAAAUUCAUUUCCACGAGAUAAACAACAAAAUGGUCGAAUGUAAGAAGGCGCAGCCCAAGGAAGUGAUGCUGCCAGCCAACCUGGCCAAGACACGGGCCGCCGGGCGUUCUGCAUACGAUAACAUCAUGUGGGGUCUGGGGACAUUGCCAGAAGGUUUUCCGGCAGCUGCCUAUGCUGCUUAUGCCGCUGGUCGUGGCUACUCGGGCUAUCCCAGCUUCGGUCUGCCCUAUCCAACUGUUGAUCUAACCAACGGGCAGCUGACCCCCAACAACAACACUCCGCUGCUGACCCAGGCGCUGUCAGUGAUGAACAACUACCAGGCUGCUGCCGCGGCCGCCCAUAGCUUUGGGCCAUCGGCAUCGCCUCAUGCCGCAGCCGCCACCACGGCCACCCGGCAGGGAUUCCCCUCGACCAACUCGCCCGGUCCGACCAUUGACAUGUACAGCUCGGCGGCCGCCGACAAUGUGGGCUACGUGCAGGCCACCAGCCCGCAACCGUCCGGCUUUCCGAUUGCCGUCAGCCGAGCUCCGUUAAACUACAGCCCGAUUUAUUCGUUGAACUUUGCGAUGGCUAAUAUAUAAAAAGACUGAUAACCCAAAAUAUAAAAAUGCAAAAAGAACAAAAACAAAAAGAAAAGCAAAAGCAAAAAUAAAACAAAAGAAAUGCAAAAGUAAAAAAAAGAAACCCCCAUUAUAUAUUUAAAUCGAAAAAUAUAUAUAUGUAUGAAAAAAUUGCAAAAUAAAAAAUAAAGAUAAACGAAAGCAAACAAAAGAAAUAAGAGUAUAAAACAAACGCAGUUGCACAAGGGACCACUAAUUCCUGCGGCAUUUACAAAUGGAUACCAUUAAAAGGUGGCGCCGACAACCGCAAUGACAACAACAACAACAUGAAUUAAAACAACAACAACAGAAGCAGCAGCAACAGCAACAGCAGUAAUAACAACAGCAACAGGAGACGCAGCAGAAGUAGCAAAAGCAGCAGCAGGACAUGCAACUUUAGCAACAAUGACAAAAACACACAAAUGUGUGUGUGUGUUUGUGUAAUGCUGCAACCACAGAGCGCUACAAAAAAGAAAAUAAUUUAAAGUUAUAUAUACACGUGAAUAUAUAUAUAUAUAUAUAAAUAUAAAUCAAAUAAAGUACAUAUUACAUAUAACACACUUGCAAAUACGCAAAUGCGUGUAUUUUCCCACAUUGCAAAAUUAAAUCCGUUAAGCAACAACUACAACUGCAACAGAAACAACAAUAAACCAAACACACAUAUUAUAAUUAAUUAAUUAACGUAUAUAUAAAUACGUUCAUAUAAACGGAUGGCAGAAACGCAAAAAAAAGACACCCACAACACACACACACACACGCGUAUAGAAAGCCAAGCAAAAUCGUAAAAAAAAAAAAGAUGGAGGAAAAACUACGAGCGAACACAAACAAAAAAAUUAAUUUUAAUUUAACAACCACUACAAGAGCAACAACAACGCUUGGCCCCGAAAGAUGCAACGUGUGCAGCAAAAAUCGUUUAAAAUGCAAAUUAAACGGAAACUGUGCGUCCAACUGGAGUGGCGGGGCAUCGCGCGGGUGCAGGGUGGUAUGGGUUGGCAGGAUGGCAGUAUGGCUGUAUGGCAGUAAGGUGGGCGUGCCAGCUCACCCAGCAAAAAAUGGCGCGCCUAUCAGCCCACCACCCACCGCCCAUAGCCCACACUCCGCCCCCGAAACGGAUGACAACACCGCGAGGGGGCGUACCACUUUUAAGUAAUGAGAAACCAACAAACGAACAAAAAACAAAAAAUUUUAAAUCACAAAUCUGCAUGAGGGGGAAAAAAACUAAUAAAAAAAAACGAUAAAGUUGAAAACAAAGCAAAAAUGUUGCAAUAAUAGCGAAAAUGUUAUUAUUUAAUUGCGUAUUAUUAAAUGCAAAUUAUUAUUACCAUUAUUAUUGCUAUUCUUAACGUAUCUAAGUUGUAACUUGUAAAGUUAAAGGCGAUAUAUAUAUACAUAUUAUAUAUACAAGAAUAUACACUCUUAUAUAUAUAUAAAGUAUAAACUGCAAUAUAUACAAAAGGAAAAUUACUUGAAUCAAAAACAAACAAAAAAACCAAGCAAAACCAUGAACAACAAAUAAUUGUAAUUUCAACGAUAAUUAUCGAUACAUAAGCCACUGACAAUUUCGAUAACUGGAGUGUUUGCAAAUGUUAAUUAAUCGGAUUGAUUUAGUCCGACUAACGGGACGAGUUCAUUUCAUUUCUCGAUUGGGGGCAUCUGGGUGGGGGUGAUGAAUCAAAUCAAAAUUGUGCUUACAAUUAUAUUUAUGAAUUUAUUUUAAAGUACAACAAAUCCUUUAUUGGCCAAAGUAAACAACAAAGAUACCACAAACAAAAGCAAAUGUGAAAUGCAAUUGCAAUUGCAAAGCAAAAGUCAAAGGCAAUUUGUUAUUAACUAUGUUGAAUUGAACUUCUCUUUCUCAUUAUUUCAUUAUAUUUAACAUGUAGGCGGUAACAAAUACCAAAAGAAAUAAAAGGAAUAAAACUUUUGUGUUCACAUUGAAAGCAAAAUGGUAAAUAAUGCUAAUUAAACAGCGGAUAGUUAGACAAAUAUGUUAAAGCAUUAAAUAUGACAAUGAAAGCAAAGUGAGAGAGUAAAUUUCUGUAACUCGAGGCAUAAAUCAAUUUAUUUGCUAAACAAAAUUAAGAACAAUGAAAUGAGAACAAAAAAUAAAUGAACUCCCUAAAUAAGUAAGGACACAGAAUUUUUGAAAAACAAAGAAAAAAAAAUAUUAAACACUUUACACACACUCAGACACAGAACACUCGAACACACUCAAACACACACAGAUCUUACUGAUAAAUCAAAAAGAGACACUUAAACAAAUUACUUUGUAAGAGCAUAUGCAAAUAUAACAAUGAACUAUUAUACAUACAACAUAUAGUACGAUUAAGUAAAUAAAAUAUUUAUAAAACAAACGCGCAAAAUCGCAAAUGUUUGAACAUUUAACUAAAUAUAUCUGUAAACAAGCAUGUAUAAAGGACGCGGAUGAGCCGGUUAAAAAUUUAAACAACAAAAAAAUUAACAUUAAAAUGAAAAAUGAACUUAAAACAAAAAAAGAACAAAAAAAAUGCAGGCCACUCUAUGUGCAAUUAAUUUUUUUCUAGUCGCUCCGCCCGGCGAUAUUGGCCCGGACGAUGGAUGUACUAGACGUAUUUGAGGAUAAUGACGAUGCAAUCGACGGGGCGUAAUAGAAAAAUAUAUUUAUAUACAACUAUAUGGAGUAUUAAAUUAUUGGAAAAGCAAACCAAACAAGAACCUAUCAGAUAGAUAAGUAAACGACAUUUGUUACACGCGCAGCAGCAGCAAGUGGGGUAAAAACUUUCGAAAAAAACAAAACAAAACAAAAAAUGUAGCAGAGAAAAAGAAAUAUUGUAUAAUUGACAGAACAACAAUACGAUGCGCUUUUUGUCUGUCUGAGAUUUUUUGCAUUAGGCGACGUAAAAUCAACAAAACAAAAAACAAACUAUAAAAAAACAAGACGAGCUGACAACUACAACUAAAAACAAAAGCAGUAGAAAACAAAAGCAAAUGCCGAAACAGAGAAAAUGUUCCUUUCAUAACUUUUUUGCCAAAUUGUCAAACCAACGCUCUCCAGGACUUUGCUGAAAAGUCUCGGACCAACAAACUUACAUACUUAUAACAUAUAUGUAUACCGUAGUGGGAAAUUGUGGGAGCCGAGGAAACCAAAACGUAACCAAAACAGAAACCCCUAAACAAAAAAUAAACCAAAAAUAAAUUAUAUGUAUGACUAGUUUUAAAGCAAAGCAAAUGAAAAACAAAAUAUGAAAUAGUUGCAGUGGAACAUAAACUACAUUUAACGUUUGAACUGUUGAUCUGAUGACCCCAAGAAUCCAAUCCCAUCCGAUAAAGGAUGGGAUGUAAUCCCACUCCCAGAGAACAUUUCAGAUUUUCCAAAGUCACUUUCGACGACUUUGUCAUGAACAUCCCACACUUUUCAAAAUUUAAAUAAUCAAAACGAACAUAUUGAUGAAGCAAAAAAGACAGAAAUCGUACAUUUUAGAUAGACAAAGAUCAGACCGGGGGAGUCUGGCAUAUCGGGUGUUUGAACGAAAGAUGACGAUGACCUUACUUUAGCGGGAACUCCUCUCGGCGGGUCGGAGGUCAUUGGCGAGAAUUCCAGAUGCUAUUUUUAAUGGGGAAGCGAGCGAUGACAGCAACGGUAAACAUGUUAUAUUUGCAUAAUAUAGGUAUAUACAUAUAUAUAAUACCUACGCUAAGGACUAUACAUACAUAUAUAUAUAAAUAUAUAAAUAAAUAUAUUUUUAAGACAUGUUCUAAAAGCAAUAAUUCAAAACAACAACAAACGGAGACGAAAGAAAAAAAAUAAACAAGCUGAGAAGCUAUGAGAAAAACCAAAAAGGAAUACAUUAAAUAUACACCAAUAUAUAAAUAUACAUAAAUAUAUAUACACCUACACGUAAAUAUAUAUACAUGCAUACAAGAAAUAUAUAUAUAGUAUUAUAUAUAUAUAUAUCAAUGAACUCGAUUAACUAAAGAGCAAGGUAUCGAUCUAGCUGAGAUCGAAUCGAUCUUCGACUGUCUUAGUGGAAAACCUUUUCAAGCCGAAUUAUUUCUCAGCUAUGCCCGAAAGUAUUGCCACACUACUUACUACAGCAUUCGUUUAGACUUGUAUGUAUUAUUUGUGGUCUAUAUAGUUGGUCGGAUCGCAGGAGGACAGUAGCUAAUGUCGUAGGACUUGUGAGCAUAGUUCCGGGUCCCUUUACGUUGUAAGUCGAUGCAGCUUUAAGUGUAAUGUUGAGUCCUUUCCAACAACUUCCCCUUUUCCCGCUUACGAUCGUUGCAUCUACAAUUCUACGCAUUCCGUUUGAUUUGUAGUGCUCUUUAUUCUAUAAGGAAGCUAAUGCCGCUAUAUAGACGAUCUACGCGAUACAAAUGUACUUGCUUAAAUAAAUAAAAUAUUGGUAUACCGGAUCAAAUUCAGAAGAGUUAAAGCCGAAGCAACAAGCAAUGCGUCCUUGUAACAAAAUCAAUUUCAGUCAAUUAGGAAAUUUCACACCAACAAAUCACAGAGAGCAACAUAAAGACAGCAACAGCAAAAAAUAAGAACAUUUUUUAACAAAAAAAGCAAAACAAAGACAAAAACAAAAAAACUGUUUUCAUUAUUUUUUUACUGAUGCGCCGUCCGAACGGAAUAGGUAGUCGAUUUAAAUGGUUCGACGGCGCUGGCGCAAAAGCUUUAAAUUGAACAAAAUAAGAGAAUAACACGAACAAGGAUAACAAUUUGUAGAAAUCGACAAGUGAGCUCUCCUUUUUAUAACGAGAACGAAGAAUUGUGUGUAUAGAAAGUAUGCCGUGACGAUCUUUUAAAAAUAAUGUACCCAUACUUUAAGCUAUACGCAAAUGUCAGUCGAAAUGUCAAUUGGUGGUCGAAAGCCAACGGUGGGAUGCUAAAUAAAUAACUUUAAGUAAUCCUAUCGAUGGCGGCACGAAAACGACAUAAUGUGUAAUGUAAAAUAGUUUUAAAUUAGCGACACACCAGAUGAUAAUAAGGAUUAUUGGGUUUGAGGCGGAGUUACGUAGUUACAUAUACGAAUUGCUUUCCGUUUUUCUCUUAUUAUUGACUUACAAACAUAUCAGUUCUUAUUAUGUGUAUGAGUAUAGCAACAACAUCAACAAAUACGAUUACAAUUACGAUAAAGAUUACGAUAAUGAAAUACAAUUUACUAAUAUCUAGCGCUAACGAACGAAGAUCCUUUCUUUUUACCAAAAAAAAAAAGGCAAAGAAGCAAGAAAAACCCAAAGUAAGACAAGCCGCCCAAUUGGAACUUUUGAGAAGCGCAUAGAGAGGCGCUAAAAGUAAAUGGCGCUUGGUAUGUGGAUUAAAAACCAUACACAAUACGAUUUGUGGGCCUUCUACACUUUGACGUGCUUUUAUACGAUAGAAAUCCUUUUACCUACACGAUCCAUUUCUGUCCUCGGUUCUUUUUUAUAAACAUGUGUACAUACACCUCACCAAAGCACAAACACACACACACAUACCCCAGUUACAUACACCAAUUCUACAACCAACCAACACCAAAAACAAGAAGACACAUGGAGCCACAGCGGACACAGCACAUUUACGAUGGAGAUCACAUACAAAAGAACCUUCAUACGAACGAUCGAUCACUUGACUAUUUUUGCUAUAAGUAAGAAAUUCCCCCCAGGAAUGUGUCAGUCGGAUGUGGCAGAACUCCUGCUGACAAAACACCUUUACUAUAUUGACAAUAUCUCUUAUAUAUUUUACACUAUACUAUAUGGAAAAUUAUAUAUUAAUAUAUACAACAAAAAUGAGGAAAACCAAAAACCUUAACAAAUAAUACAUAAUUGAGACAAGGCGAACUUGAGGCGUGAGUGGCGUUAAAAUUGUAUUUACAAGAAAUGCGUAACCAAAACAAGAUGAAAUCAUUUUAAUACUUUAUACACAUAAAAGUCAAAGGAAUCUUUAGAGACAAAACAAAAACCCAAAAAACAAAAACAAAUGCUAAGAAGGCAGAAAGUUAAAUAUGAAACUACAAGACCGAUGACAAGAGGAUGAAGAUUCAUUUAUAAAAUGCGCCAUAGCAGGGCGUCCAGUUUGUAAGUAUUCUAACUAUGUAAGUAAAGUAAUUAAGGAGCGCAGGACGAGAAUCAAUUAAACAUACAUACUGUCUAUGGAGCCGUGUAUGAGCUCCAGCAAUUUUCAGUGCGAAUACUUUAACACAACAAAUUAAACGAAAUUAAACGAUGAUAUAUGAUAUGGAAUCCAUUGGUAUGGUGGUUGAUGAUGGAUGUUGGAUGCGAUUGCCAAUGUGUGUACAUAAGGUCUAUAUAUACUGGUACAGUACUACACUUACAGCAAACUAUACAAGGUAAAAAACAUAAUAAUAAUAAUAAUUAACAGCAAGAAACCGCAGGCAAGCAGAUACAAAAAUACAGAGAAAAAAAAUCGAGAAACGGGAGUCACACACAUAAAUAGAAGCAUAACGAGAAUUUAAUAAACAAUUUUUUCAUUUCUAUAAAGAAAUCCGGUAACGAAUUUGUAUAUUUACUACGAAAAAAAAACAAAAAAUACCAAACCAAAAAUAAGAUGAAAAAUUCGAAAUAUAUACAAAAAUGAUAUAUGUUUAACGGAGAAGAAAUCCGUAAUGGCCGACAAGUAAAUAUGCCCGUAUAUACAUAUAUGAAAAUGAAAACCAAAACCAAAACGAUAUAUAUAUAUAUAUAUACAUAGUUAUAUAACCAAGAACAACAAAUAAACAUAUAGUUAAAUUCAAUAAUGUUAAGCAUUCGACAGGCAGACAGAUACGCAUACCGGUGGUUGAAGAAAUUCAAUUAUUUGUAAGGACCCUCGAACCGGACCGAACUAUGCGAACUACCAUUUUUACAGCCAACAACGACAGCAACAGCAACAUCAUCAGCAACAACAUCAACGCUAUAACAAAUGCAACAUUUAUUAACAGACGACACAAAAGGGCAAAUUGUUGCUCUUUUAAAUACACAUACUCGGACAGCUGGAAAAUUGCAUAAGUUUUUAACUCAAACAGACACACAGAUACAUCCACCCACACACACACACCCACAAAACACACAUCCAAUCGCCCACUCAGACAUCCCGCAAUAUGUAUAUGCAAAAAACAAAAAAAAAAGAGCUAACAACUUUAGCAGCAAAUUAAAAAUCACUUUGUUCACAAUGUGCCACGUACAGGGAGCGAUAAGAGAGUCGAGGGAAAGGAUAUGUAUCCCACAUAUAUAUCCCUCCUCGGGGCAGGUAAAGAUCGGCAGUGAAAUCGGCAGAAUCAGCAGCAGCAACAAAAAUCAGCAACCGCAUAUUAAACAAAAAAAAAAAACCUAAAACAUGAUUUUAAACAUAAUGAAAUUAAAUAAUGGCAUAAUAAGUUAAGCUAAUGGUACAUAAGUUUAAAAAACAAACGGCAAAGAAAUGCUCUAGAGCAACAAAAAAAAACAUGAAGAAGAAAAACCAAGACAAACAAAUAUAUAUAUAUAUAUAUAAUAUAAAAAUUAUAAUGAAAUAACUGAGAAAUAAAUAAAUUAAUUCAUAAUGAUAAAUAAACCAAUAUGAACAUUGUUCAAAAACAUAA